UGGGAGGUGAGUGUCUAAUGGCCUUAGC
RNAcentral lists this non-coding RNA (28 nucleotides) under Mus musculus (house mouse). The record is from RNAcentral. Lineage: Eukaryota; Metazoa; Chordata; Mammalia; Rodentia; Muridae.